RNAcentral lists this ribosomal RNA (531 nucleotides) under uncultured bacterium. RNAcentral describes it as "bacterial SSU rRNA". It matches the Rfam family "Bacterial small subunit ribosomal RNA", at positions 223 to 746 of the family's 1533-position model. The record is from RNAcentral.
AGAUGGGCCUGCGGCGCAUUAGCUAGUUGGUGGGGUAACGGCCUACCAAGGCGACGAUGCGUAGCCGACCUGAGAGGGUGACUGGCCACACUGGGACUGAGACCCGGCCCAGACUCCUACGGGAGGCAGCAGUAGGGAAUUUUCCACAAUGGACGAAAGUCUGAUGGAGCAACGCCGCGUGAACGAUGAAGGUCUUCGGAUUGUAAAGUUUUGUUGUCAGGGAAGAAUAAGUUCCGUUGGAACAGGGCGGUACCUUGACGGUACCUGACGAGAAAGCCCCGGCUAACUACGUGCCAGCAGCCGCGGUAAUACGUAGGGGGCAAGCGUUGUCCGGAAUUAUUGGGCGUAAAGCGCGCGCAGGCGGUUAUGUAAGUCUGGUGUUAAAGCCCGGGGCUCAACCCCGGUUCGCAUCGGAAACUGGGUGACUUGAGUGCAGAAGAGGAAAGCGGAAUUCCACGUGUAGCGGUGAAAUGCGUAGAGAUGUGGAGGAACACCAGUGGCGAAGGCGGCUUUCUGGUCUGUAACUGACGC